RNAcentral lists this ribosomal RNA (500 nucleotides) under uncultured bacterium. RNAcentral's name for it is "bacterial SSU rRNA". It matches the Rfam family "Bacterial small subunit ribosomal RNA", at positions 868 to 1372 of the family's 1533-position model. The record is from RNAcentral.
CCCACCUGGGGAGUACGAUCGCAAGGUUGAAACUCAAAGGAAUUGACGGGGGCCCGCACAAGCGGUGGAGUAUGUGGUUUAAUUCGAAGCAACGCGAAGAACCUUACCAGGGCUUGACAUCCCGAUGACCGGCAUAGAGAUAUGCUUUUCUCUUCGGAGACAUCGGAGACAGGUGGUGCAUGGUUGUCGUCAGCUCGUGUCGUGAGAUGUUGGGUUAAGUCCCGCAACGAGCGCAACCCUUAUUGUUAGUUGCUACGCAAGAGCACUCUAGCGAGACUGCCGUUGACAAAACGGAGGAAGGUGGGGACGACGUCAAAUCAUCAUGCCCCUUAUGUCCUGGGCCACACACGUACUACAAUGGUGGUCAACAGAGGGAAGCAAUACCGCGAGGUGGAGCAAAUCCCUAAAAGCCAUCCCAGUUCGGAUCGCAGGCUGCAACCCGCCUGCGUGAAGUUGGAAUCGCUAGUAAUCGCGGAUCAGCAUGCCGCGGUGAAUACGUU